This 253-nucleotide ribosomal RNA is filed under the name uncultured bacterium. Its description in RNAcentral is "partial 16S ribosomal RNA". It matches the Rfam family "Bacterial small subunit ribosomal RNA", at positions 524 to 776 of the family's 1533-position model. The record is from RNAcentral.
UACGUAGGGUGCAGGCGUUAAUCGGAAUUACUGGGCGUAAAGGGCGCGUAGGCGGUGUGUCAAGUCAGGCGUGAAAGCCCCGGGCUCAACCUGGGAACCGCGCUUGAGACUGGCACGCUCGAGUUCGGGAGAGGAUGGUGGAAUUCCCAGUGUAGAGGUGAAAUUCGUAGAUAUUGGGAAGAACACCGAUGGCGAAGGCAGCCAUCUGGACCGACACUGACGCUGAGGCGCGAAAGCGUGGGGAGCAAACAGG